Vicia villosa (hairy vetch) is the source of this 1105-nucleotide long non-coding RNA. RefSeq lists it as uncharacterized. The record is from RefSeq and is a predicted model, not a curated record. The transcript has 4 exons. Lineage: Eukaryota; Viridiplantae; Streptophyta; Magnoliopsida; Fabales; Fabaceae.
CAUUAUAUACUUUUCCCGUCUCAGUUCUGUCUAGACUAAUGUUGUUUAUGUUUUUCACAACACAGUCAUCAUUUAUGUAGGAAAGAGUUAAGAAACCUUUUUCUUGCAGCACAAACAGGACAUCACCAAGUAGAUAUGAUGGUUACAUUACUAAUUUAUGUGUUGCCAAAUCAGCUCGCCGACAAGGAAUCACAAGCAACAUUUGUAUUUUGAAAACUAAUUCUAAUAUUCUUUUUAAGCUCCAGUUUUCAAUCAAACUGAUAGAGUUUUGCAGACAAAGUUAUUCCUUCUAAUUGAGUGGAGGCGUUUAUCGAUGCACAACGUAUGGCUGGACAUGAUGUGAGGCUAUUACGUCAUUGAUGAAAGUGUGCACGUCACCGGCAGAAUACGAAGACAUUUGUGUAGCUAACAUUUCUUAUCACCAAGCCUGCUAUACUACAUAACCAUCUUUGGUGUUGGUUGUUGGAGUUCAGUGUCCAAACUUGCUGGGUUGCAAAGAUGUGGAAAAAGUUGUUGAUUGAGAUGGAUAAACUACUUGAGACCAGAUUUGAAGAGAGGAGCGUUUUCACAACAAGAGGAGAAUCUUAUUAUUAGUCUUCAUGAAAUACUUGGAAAUAGGUGGGCUCAAAUUGCAGCACAUUUACCAGGGAGAACAGAUAAUGAGAUAAAAAACUUUUGGGAUUCAUGUUUGAAGAAGAGGCUAAGGAAGCAAGGGACCGACCCAGCUACACAUAAACCACUCUUCAAUAUUACUGAAUCAGUUCUAAAGAAAGAGAAUGAAAAAUCAUCAAUGUUAAUAUCGACACUGUCUCAACCUCAAAGAACUAUCUUCACAUGAAUAUUAUUCAGAAACACUUCUAAUGAAUGAUCUGAUGAAUUAUCACUAUAAUAUUGGUGGUUUAGCUUUUACAGAAGCUUCAAGAAUUUUUUUCAUGAAUAAGUCAUUAUUUAAUCCAUUAUGCUACAAUCUAAGUAUGGGCAAUUAUUAUCAGCCAAAACCGGGCAAUUAUUAUCAGCCAAAACCGAAUCUGUUUGCAAGUGAUUAACAAGUUUUUCAUUGCAAUUACAAGGAUUAACAAGUUGGACAAUUUCAGUCUUUUUGUCA